UACAGAGGGUGCAAGCGUUGUUCGGAAUCAUUGGGCGUAAAGGGCGUGUAGGCGGUUUGUUAAGUCAUGUGUGAAAUCCCUCGGCUCAACCGGGGAACGACGCUUGAAACUGGCAAGCUAGAGUACCAAAGAGGGUCGCGGAAUUCCCGGUGUAGAGGUGAAAUUCGUAGAUAUCGGGAGGAACACCGGUGGCGAAGGCGGCGACCUGGGUCGAGACUGACGCUGAGGUGCGAAAGCGUGGGGAGCAAACAGG
RNAcentral lists this ribosomal RNA (253 nucleotides) under uncultured bacterium. RNAcentral's name for it is "partial 16S ribosomal RNA". It matches the Rfam family "Bacterial small subunit ribosomal RNA", at positions 524 to 776 of the family's 1533-position model. The record is from RNAcentral.